RNAcentral lists this ribosomal RNA (999 nucleotides) under uncultured bacterium. RNAcentral's name for it is "partial 16S rRNA". The stretch from base 364 to 881 matches the Rfam family "Bacterial small subunit ribosomal RNA", at positions 875 to 1387 of the family's 1533-position model. The record is from RNAcentral.
CGCGUUCAGGGUGCUCGGCGCCAGGCUAAAGCAGCUUUACAGCGGGGUAAAAUGCGCUUCCAGCAUAAUAAUAAUACGGCUUUUAAAGGUACGCGGUUCCACCUGGCUGCCGCCUUUCGGGUUCGCCAGUUACGGUUUCGGGCUCGGCGGCAGGGUCGCCGGGCUCGCGGUCAGAAAGGUGCUAAUACGACGAAACAGCGGCGGGCUCGGCGGCGCACGGCUCAUGCUAUGACGUUCCGGCACAAACGCAUGACGCGCAAACACAAUCAGAUAGCCACGCAGCGCACGACGCAGACGAUGGGUAAUCGGGGUCAGAUGACGGCUGCAACGCGCUUACAGGCUGCCGCAUUCGGUGCUACGUUUAUGCAGCACCGCCGCCAGGUUAAAGCUCAGCGGAAUGCUCGGCGGGCCGCACAGGCUGGUGCUGCAGGUGGUUUAAUGACGAUGCAGCGCAAAAAAACGCACUUAAUCACGGCAGCCGCAAAAUUUUUCGCUAAAAAAACGGGUGCUUUCCGGCACGGUCAGGCAGGUACGGCACGGCUGACGUUAGCUGGUAUAAUGAAAGGUCGGGGUCAGCGCCGCCACCAGCGCCACGCCAAUGCUCACCUGCCAACGGGUCAGGCCCGGCACAAUCGGCAGGCUGCCGGUAAUAAAACGCAGAAAGCUCGGCACCACAUCCAGUUAUUACGGGCCGCUGCUAUAGGUCAGGCACAUAUGUUACAGCGGUUAAUACAGCGGGUUAAAAAAGCCACGCGGCGGCGGCAGGCCCAUAAAGGUGGUGGUGGUAUGCACCGGGGUCUGCAGUUAAAAGCCAUGCAGACGGCCACGUUAAUAAUCAUGAAUCACAAAUUCCACGGUAAACACGUUCGCCGGCAUGGUGCACACCGCACGUUACACCAUCAGGGUCGGCUGCACCACCAGCAGGCUGCUCAGACGACGGCUCGGGGUUUACCACGGGGUGUUGGUCACCGGCGGCUGACGCGCAUCUUACAUCGCGCC